AUUUGGUUGGGGUCCUCGAAUAUGCAUAGGACUAAACUUCGCCAUGAUUGAAGCAAAAAUGACAUUAUCAAUGAUUCUACAGCGCUUCUCGCUUGAGCUUUCGUCAUCGUAUACACAUGCUCCCAUUGCUGCCAUAACAACACAACCUCAACAUGGAGCUCAUAUCAUACUACACAAAUUGGAAUUAGUUACUUAAACUAAGUAUUAGGUUGCACAUUAUCAAAAAGCUAAGGAAGUUCUGUGCUUCUGUGCUUUGACUAUAUAUAACUUCAAAUCCUUUUGAGAAAAAUGUACCCACGAAUGUUCUCAACUAAAUACCCUUUUCAUUGCUCACCAGCUCUCCUAAAUAAACAGUUUUAAGGGCAAUGACAUCCCCUUCCAUUUUCUGCUUGAGGUGAUAUUAGUGGUUGUAAUUGUACCAUUUAUGUUUAAAAUUUAUAAAACGAACGAAUCCACUGUUAGCCUGAACUUGAAGGGUAAGUCCAUACACUAAAAAUAAUUUAUGUUCCAGCUGAUUCAAAAUAGUCAAAUUUAUGCACUACAACUUUUGAAAACUGACCUUUCUCAUUGUCAUUUUAUCAAACACUUCAUCUGCAAUGUGUUCAUCAUCAGCAUUCUUGUUAACUUCAACCACAAAAUGUACCACAAGACAAAGAAAUAAUGUUCAAGAAAAGGUAUAAUAAUAUAAUUUCAAAUCCUUUGAGAAAACCAAGGAUGUGUGUAACUACGCCUACAUCACUUGUUUGAAGUAUGGUUUAGGCAUUAGAAGUUCAUAUGCAAAAAUAGAUCUCUUGUUUUGUACUCUUCUUUCAGACAAUAAAUAAAAUUUGGAUUUAAAUAUAAGAUCUUUCUGCAAAUUACCAAUCAAUCCAAAAGCUUAAAUAAAUUUAAUUAAUCAUAUAUCAUCAAACACGUAGAAAUCACGUUUGAUAUGAACAUGGACAAUAAAGUUGAAAAGAUAGCAUGAUUCACAUCAGGAGUAACAACUUAGGACUGAAAUAGACUAUGAGAAAUUGGCGUGUCCAUGCCACGUUCCAAGUGACCAAAUUGGCGUGUCCAAUGGCACCCCUCUAUCUCAUCUCUACUCAUCCAAAUCUAUAAAUUAAAAGGGCAAGAAAAUUAAAAUCCAGAAUCAAUUUUUCUAAUGUUAAAUUUAUUUUGUAUCAUUUAGUAGGAUUUUUAGAGUAUGUUAAAGACAUUAUUUUUUCUUUUAAAAAAAAACACUAUUAAUUACAUAAUUGUAUAUAUUCAGUUGAUUAUGUAUUUUAGAAGUAAAAAUACUUUUUGAUAUUUCACAUACGUUAAAAAUUAAGGUAAGGUUUUUGAAUUGAGUUGAUGAAGAGCAUUCCAAAAUGAUAUUUUUCAAAAAUACUAUAAUUAAAAUAUUUUUCAUUUUAAAACCAAUACUAUAAUGUAUAUUUCAACAAUUAAAAUAAUUGAUUUAUGGUCCACAUGUAAUUAUGACAAAUUGACUUCCUUCCCUCUAAUUUCAAUGAAUUUUUCUUGAACCUCAAGAAAAUAUUAAAAGAAUAUCUAUUUUUUUUAAUCUUUUUAUAAAGAAAAGUCUAAAAAAUAUAUCUUGGAGCUCAAGAUGAACUAUUUUUGUAAUCUUGUAAAGGUCUUUUGGUCAAUUUUCCCCUUUUAAAUUGCUUUAUUUUUAUUUUAGUUGAGUUUGAAUAUUGCAAUCAUCUUAUUUGGAAUAUUUAAAUCAAUAAUCUAUUAGUAUAUAAACAAGUAAAAUAGAACUAACGUUAUUUUAAAAAAGAUUAUACGUUGAUUUUGUUAUACUAAAAAUAAUUCUAAAAUUUUCUAUUUAAAUUAUAGUUGUACAUCGAUAUUUUUUUAGUAUAAUAUAUAUAAAAAAUACCAUUUAAAAUGAAAAAGAGUUGAAAAGAUCUAUAUAAAUCAUAGAUAGAAAGUAAACUUUUGGUAUAUAUUUUGUUUAGUAAGUUUAACUUAGCUCAUUGUCUCAGACUUUAAAACUAACCCUUUAUAUUUUCAUUUCAAAGAAAUAAAUAAAUACCAAUUAUUAAUGGGUUGGGUUAAAAUUAGAUUCAAAUUCAACAUUUAGGGCCGUUUGGGAAGGAAAAGAAAGGAAAUACUUGUUUGGCUUAGGGAUUAAGGAGGGAAAAUACUACCCUUAAUCCAUCUUAUUUAUUCUCUUUUUUCUCAUUUAUUACCCAUUUAAUCCUCUCAUUUUUCAAUAUAAUUUUUCUCUUUUUUCUUUAUUCUCUUUUCUCAUUUAUUUAUUUUUCUGUGCAAAUUAAUCUUUUUAUUUAUUCUCUUUUUUAAACAAAUUAAUCACCAUCUCUUAUUCUUCGUUCUAUUUGUGCCAAAUGAAUCAGUCAUCUUGUAUAGUAUGUUGCUUAUAAUUUUCGUGAAGAAAAAAAUUAAUAAAUGAAAGAAAAAAUAAAAACAACAAAAUACAAUUUUUUUAUUGUAAGUAUCGAUGAUACAAACUUAAAAUACAAAUUUCUUUUUGUAUUCUAUUUACGGUACAAUUUGAAAAAAUAUAUUUUACAUAAAUGAAAAAAAUAAUACAAUUUGUUUGUAUCGUCUAUUGUUUGUAUGAUCCGACUUUUUUUUUUUAUACAAAAUCAAUUUAAAAAUUAAUACAUAUUUGUUGUGUAUUGCGAUGUGUGUUGGGGUUACAGCAGAAAUGAAGUAUAAACAUUAUUUUAAUACAACUUUUCGUCGUUUUGGAAAAUAGUACGAACAAAAUAAAUAAGUUCAAACAAAUGCAAAUAUAUAUAUGUAUAUAUAUAUACAAUUUUUGUUUGUAUGUGGUUUACGAAAAACAUUUCAUAAACAUUUCUUACACACUAAAAAAAGAUGUAAUUCAAUUUCUUUUUCACAUGGGGUUGCGGUAGAAAAAAAAACAAAUAGUUGCCAUAAAUUUUUUAAAAAAGAGCAUAAUUUUAAUGUAUUGGAUUUACGGAUCAAAUUGAACUAUAAAUUGAAGACAAAUGAAAAAUUAAAUAAUACAAUUUCUGUGUGAAUUGAAUUUACUAUAUAAAUUUCGUAAACAUAUUUUACACAACAAAAAAAAUAAAUUAAUACACAUUAUUCUAUGUACUUGAUUUAAUGUUAAAAAAGAAAGAAAAAACUAUGGUACAAAUGAGACAAAAAAAUCUUUACUUUUCAAAGUAUAUUAGGUAUACGUUGUAAGUAAAAAAAUAUUUAUAUAAAAUAAAAAAAAGUACAAUUUUUUUUGUGAACGCAUAGAUUACGAUACAACCUAACUAAAAUAAUGAAUUUGAAUAUAAUUUUUUGUUGUAGAGGUUUUACCGUAUGAAAAAUUUACACAAAUGCAAAAAAUAUUAGCACAUUUUUCAUUUUGUAUUGGGUUCGUGAAAAAAAAAACAAUAAUUUCAUUUUAAGAAAAAAGUAAUUAUAUAUAUAUCAUAUUGGAGUUAAUGUACAAAUAAAAAAAAUUACACAAAUGAAAAAAAUACAAUUUUUUUUGUCAUAAUCCUUACCCCAAAUGAUCAUUCUCCCAAACAAGAAUUAUAAUAAUCCCUUCACUUAAUCAUUCCUCCAAAUAAGGAUUAUAAAUAAUCGAUCCUUUCACUUAAUCCUCCCCAAGCAAGAAUUAUAAUAAUCAUUUCCACCUCUUAAUCUUUUUUUAAUUCCUUUUUUUUCUAUUGCUUUCCUCCCCAAAUUUGAGUGAAGUGUAUAUUAAAAUAUAAUAACAAAAUGAUUUGGAUUGAAGCAAGUCAAAUUGCUUUUUUCCUCACUCAUAUGGGUUUAGAAAAGAAAGAGAAUUGACCAACAUUUAAUGCUUUUUCUCCACAAGAUAAAGGAAAUAGGAACAAACUAGGAAAAAGCAACCAUCAACAUUAUUGAGUAGAAAUUUCAACCAUGAUGGGUACCCUUCAAAUUGGAUCCUUAUCAUCUAAUAUCUUCCGUCCUAUAUCAUCUUUUGAUCUUAAAUAUAUAUUUUAUAUUGGUAGAGUUAUAUUUAUAUAUAUUCUUUUUAAUUAAAAAUGAUACAUUAAGUUGUUUAACUUUACGUAUAUUUAAGUGGUUGGUCACUACAAAGUCACAUAUUAAUUGAAUUAACAAAUAAAUAAUAUUUCCUUAUCAAGGAAAAGACUAAAAGAGAAAAAGAAAUAAGUAAAAAACACCAACACAAGCCAAUAAUUUAUUUUUUGUCCACUCAUCAUAUAAAAAACAUCCACAUCAUCUUUUGACGUUAAAGCCAUGGUUUCAAAACUUUAUAAAUUAUUUAUGAUAGGUUUAGAUUGAUAAGAAAAAAAAUGACUUAUUUUAGUAUUAAACACUUCAACAUUUCAAUCAAAUGCAUAUUUAGAACUAAUCAUAUUUGAUUCUAUAUAUUUAUGAUAAGUAAUAAUAAUUAAGUAUAUAUCAAAUUGGAAGAGUUUGAAAUUUUUUUGUUAUAUUUGUCUUUUUUUUCUUUGUUAUAUAUGCUAAUAUUUUAAAUUUAAUGGUUAUAUUUACUUCAUCCUAUUAUUUAAAAAAAUAUUUUACCAAAUUAUUAAAUUAAAAAGAAACAUUUUUAAUAUAUAUAUAUUUUUUUAAUUUUCCAAUAAUGAUAAUAUCCAUUAAAAUGAAAAAGAGAAAGAUUGUAAGGUUAUAAAUAGAAGAGAGAAGUUAGAGAAGUGAAUGCCCCAAAGUUAUUGUCUGUUUAAUAAACACAAUUUUGAGAACUCUGAGUUUCUUUGUUUACAAAGAUGUGGUAUGUUCCUGAUACGGUUUCAACUCCCACAGUAAUGAUAAUUAGUUUUGUUUUAGUGUUAUUAUUGUUAUUGGGAUGGAAAUUAGCUGAUUGGAUUUGGUUUCGGCCGAAGAAAUUAGAGAAGCUUUUAAGGCAGCAAGGAUUCGCCGGGAAUUCAUACCGGAUUCUCCACGGCGACUUGAAGGAGAGUGCGGCCAUGAGAGAGGAAGCAAUGUCCAAGCCCAUGAAGUUCUCCAAUCAUAUUGCUCCACGUGUCAUUCCUUCUGUUCAUCAAACCAUCCAGCAUUAUGGUAACACUUUAUCCCAAACUUCCUUUCUUAUUUUUCUUAUUUUUUUUCAGUAAUAAAGGAAAAUUGUCAAAAAUUUACCCUCAGUAAAAAUAUCCAAAAAUCAAGUGAUUUUGUUCGAUUUUGUUCUAUAUGGGUAAAUAAUUUGUCAAUUUUCUUUUUCUAUUUUUGAAAAAAAAUUAAUAAUAGAAUACACUAAAGUCAGUUUAUUGGGAAAAUUUUUAGUUUUAGAAAACUGGGUAUGAAAUGCCUAUGAUGCCCUUACAUGCUUCCUCCCACCUCACCUUUUUCUCUCAUUUUUUUCCCUCUAAUUUCUUUCUAACUUACUUUUCGUACUAAUAAAAUUGAUUUUAAAAUAUCAAAAGUAUUUUUCAUCAUUUUAUUUAGUCUUUAAAAUCAAUUUUAAAUCUCAUAAAAUCAAUUUUCAUAAAUUUGUUUGUCUACGAAUUGAUUUUACAAAAUUAGUUCUACUUAUUUUUUUUUUUCUUUUCAAAAUACUCCAACUAUCACUCUUAAACGAUAAGUACCGUAAUCAUAUAAUUUUUUUUAAUUUUUUUUAAAUAUUGUAAAAUAAAUUUAAAUAUAAAAAAAUAGCAAAAUAUCACUUCAAAUUGAGUUAAAAAAAUUUAAAACAUAAUUUUUUUUCUUUUUUAAAUAUACUAAACAAGGAGCUUUUUUUCGGGAAGAGCUCGCUUCCAGAAAAUUUCUUUCGAGAUUUUCCACCUCCACCCAAGUAAAAUUGAAGGGGAAUUAAUUUUCGUGAUAAUACAUGAAUGAAACGAGAGCACAAAAUACUUAAAAUUUUUGGUUAAAGUAUUCUUUAUUUUAUUUUACGUUUGUGUUUUCAUAGUUAAUUCAUUAAAGUUACCAAUAGUUUUGAAAGUAAAAUUUAAAGGACUAUUUUGUUUGAUUGGGAGUGUAGGGAAGAAUUCAUUCAUGUGGAUUGGGACAGUGCCAAGAGUGCACAUAAUGGAUCCUGAGCAACUCAAAACUGUGUUCUCAUUCAUCAAUGAUUUCCAAAGGCCAACUAUGAAUCCUCUUCUCAAGUUGUUUACAAAUGGUCUUUUCAGUCAUGAAGGACAAAAAUGGGUCAAACAUAGAAAGAUUAUAAGCCCUGCAUUUCAUUUAAAGAAGCUUAAGGUAUCUCUAUCUUUUUCUUUCUCUCCCUAUAUGUAUAUAUAUACAUAUCUCAUUUUUAAACUAUUUUAUCAUAAUCUUACUAGCUAUGACCAACAUACUCUUACAUUGCCCUAUAUAUAGGAUAUGAUACCCGAAUUCUAUCAUAGUUGUAACGAGAUGGUUAGCAAGUGGGAAAGCAUGGUCUCUGAAGAGGGAUCUUGUGAGUUAGAUGUAAUGCCUUAUCUCCAAAAUAUGGCUUCUGAUGUGAUUUCUCGAACUGCAUUUGGGAGUAGCUAUGAAAAAGGAAAAAAGAUCUUCGAGCUUCAAUCUAAAUUAGGUGCCUUUGCAAUUCAAUCUAGCUUAGGGAUAUAUAUUCCAGGAUGGAGGUAAAACUUAACCCAUCUACAACAUUAUGAUACAUCUAUAGACUAUGGUGAAAGAUUGUAUAUCAUGAAUUAUGUUUUGUGCAGGUUUCUACCCACGAAGUCAAAUAAUAAAAUGAAAGAGAUAAGUAAAGAGAUAUCAACUUUGAUAUUGGGUGUUAUGAAUGAAAAGGAAAAGUCUAUGAAGGCAGGUGAAGCUAUACAAACUGAUCUACUAAGCAUUCUCAUAGAAUCCAAUUUGAAUGAAAUUAAAGAACAUGGAAACAACAAAGGCAUGGGAUUGAGCAUACAAGAUGUUAUUGAUGAAUGCAAGCUUUUCUAUAUUACUGGUCAAGAAACUACAGCAACAUUACUAAUUUGGACGAUGGUAUUGUUGAGUUCAUAUUCAGAAUGGCAGGAGCGAGCAAGAAAAGAGGUAUUUGAGAUCUUUGGCAACAAGAAACCAGAUUAUGAUGGUUUAAGUCGGCUAAAAGUUGUAAGUGUGAUUAUAUUCUCCAACAUUUACUUUCUAUUUAUUUAUUUUUUCCAUUUUAAUUUCAUCUCAUUUGUGAAAUUUAAAUGUCAACCCUAUGAAUCAAAACAAUCCCAUGAGAUAGUUUUGAAUAUAUGAAUAUUCAACAAAGGUUUCUUAGCUUAAUCUCAAUCAAGUGUAUUAACUUUGGAUUUUGUAAAUUGAAACUAUAAAGGUCAUUUGAUAAAGUACUUGGCAUAUAAGAAGCACAAACAAUUUGAUUUGGCUAGCAUGUUUAUGUGUGUCAAGCACUUAUGGUCAUUUUUUGACAUGAUUCAAACACUUGUUAGUGCAAUAGAUGUGUGAUAGAAACUAGGUGUACAAAGUCAAGUAGGUAUAACAUUUAUUAAAUUUAAUAGUUGUUGAGUGUACUAAAAUAGACAAUAUAUGACCAGAAUAAUAAAUUUUAAUAGCAAAAUACAUCAAACUAAUUUUUCUAGGUUUUGUAAAAGUGAUAUGCCACUAAAUGGAUAUCGUGUCAUAUUUAUAUCUUGUAUUUGUAUAUGUGUUUCUUUGCUAGAUAGCAUGUUGGCAAGGAGUGAGUACAUCGUCUUUGACGUGUGGCUUUUGGGAAUGUAUCCUAAAAGGUUAUGUAUUAGCUAAUAAAUGAUAAGUGACUUUUGCUAUGGCACAGGUGACUAUGAUCUUCAAUGAGGUUCUCAGGUUAUACCCACCUGUGAGUAUGUAUGCUCGUACUGUGAAUAAAGAAACAAAACUUGGAAAUUUGACUUUACCAGCAGGAGUGAUGUUGAGUUUACCAAUUAUUCUUAUCCAAACUGAUCGUGAGUUAUGGGGACAAGAUGCACAUGAAUUUAAUCCAAAUAGAUUUUCAGAAGGUGUUUCUAAAGCAACAAAAAAUCCAUGUGCUUAUGUACCAUUUGGUUGGGGUCCUAGAAUAUGCAUAGGACUAAACUUUGCCAUGAUUGAAGCAAAAAUGGCAUUAUCAAUGAUCCUACAACGCUUCUCAUUUCAGCUUUCUCCAUCAUACACACACACUCCUAUUGCAGGUUUAACAACACAACCUCAACAUGGAGCUCAUAUCAUACUACACAAACUCUAGCUACCUUCUUAAACUAUGUACUAACUUGCACAAUUAUCAUAGUUAAGAAUAGGAAUGUUUGCUAUUUUUGCUUGUAAUUUCCAAUACUUUGCGAAAAAGUUAGCUACACAUGUUCUAGAUAUAUUUUCCUUUCAACUAAAUUCUCUUUUUCAUUUUUCACUAGCUCUUAAAUAAACAAUUUUCAAGAUAAUAGCAUCUACUCCUUUUUCAGCUCGGGAUGAUUAAUUAAUCCUUGUAAUUGUACCAUUUUUGUCUAAUAUGAAGAAAAAAUCUCAAUAGUCAUAAAUAAUUAGUUCAUUAUUCAACAUGGUGAAGUUUACGCCCUGAAACUGACCUUUUUUUUUUUUGCUCAUAGUUAUUUUUCUGCAAUGAGCUUCUCAGCAACAUUCUACUAAACUUCUACCAUAAAAAAAACAUACAACACAACAAACAAAUAUUCCAAAUGAGAUUAUGAAACUAUACCCACAAACUGUAAUACUCAUUACAUAUAAAUUCAAGAAGAGGGUGUAAUUCUUGGAAACAACGUGUAACUACAACUACAUUAUUAAUUUGGACUAAGUCUUUUUUAUUGAGCUCAUACUUGCAAAAGCAAACAAGAAUAGAGGUCAUGGAAGUCUUUGUACACUACUACAAAACUGGUUUUACUUGACACUUAAAACCGGACAAUGUUCUUAUUAUAUUCAGUAGGCUUUUUAUAAUAUGAUCCCUUACGUAGAUGUCCUAGUUAAUAUGAGUAAUGCAAUACCUUUUCAAUCAGAUUCAUAAAAGACAACACAUUUGCAAUGUCGUAUAGCCGCCUUACGUUAGUUGUAUAUAAUAAAAGAUGUAAUUAUCAAGCAUUUCCCCGUUCACAUUCUAAAAUUAAUAUCAAAGUUCAAGAUUUCUUACUUCUCAUUAUUAAUGAAUUGUAGUCAUCUCCUAAUAAAAGCUUAGCAACUUUGUCAAGGGAAAUCAUAUUCACCUAUAAACCCAAUUUCUAUUAGUUAACGGAAAUCGCAAAGAGGCUCAUCAACAAACAGUAAACGAUAAGGUGGUUCAAUUUUUCACUCACAUGACUGCAGAUAAAUAGCUUAACAAUUUCCAAAUUUUGUCUGCAGAUACUAAUAGAAAGUGUAAGGGAAUCUCAUUGUGGGGGGCUACCCAAUUUUAUCUAGCACAACAAACAUAAAAGUUGGAAAUUGAACUACAACCAUACAAAAUGUUGUCCAAAGACAGUUGCAGUUGAGGUCUGGCUGCCAGUUGGAUUGGAAAAUCUUUCAUCCUCAUCUUCAUCAUAUCCAAGACCUAAAUGUGACCAAAUGCAGGACAAGGAAUGGUCAAAUUCCAACCCAUAUACAUGCAACAAAUGGGAAGAAAUGAGGAAAUUUGAACUAAAAAAGGAAAAAUAAACUGGCUUACUUUUGCAUAAUAGUUACCAUCAGAUGCCCAGCAAUUCUCCCUCAAUCCCUCUUCCUAUCAAAUAAUUCAAAACAAAUUACGCCAUUUCCAUAACCCCAAAUGGAGAAAACAGCUGAAAUGAAAUCAGUCCCAACUUUAUUUCUCCCUAGGAAAUUUAUACCGUAAAUAAGAAAGAUAAGUUUAUAAAUAAUCCAAUUUGACCACAGUAAAUAAGGAAGAUAAGUAGGACCUAAACUUAAUUUUUGUGUAUAAUUGAAUUAGUCACAUUUAAGCUAUGUAGACAGACCAUACCCACAAGGCAACCAAGUCUAACCCUAACGAGAUCCACAAACCAACAAGUACAAAUACUGGUUGCUAUUUGCUUGAAUAUUGUAUACAACCAAAAUGUAUAGAACACAAUGACACCUUGGCAAUGAAUUAUUAAAUAAUUAAGACAUUACAAAUAUAUAAUUGCCUCUUAAAAAAACAAAAAAUUAAUCACCUUUAUUAGUAAAAAAAAAAUGUAAUUAAGCUAAUCAAAGAAUAAUUCCAAACACACCACUGUCCCUUUUCUUUAUACUAAAAAACAGAAUCUAAUUAUACAAAAAUUCAAUAUUAAUCAAAGUCUAAAUUAUUAAAAUUACAAAGGAGCACAAAAGUCCCUAAGUUUUAUUUAUAUAUUACAGCAAAUAAUAGUCAAUACAUCUCUAUAUAGUUGAAGAAACUAGAACACAAGACAAAAAACAAAAAACAGAGCAUCAAUGAAAGAACUUAAAAACAAAAAUCAAAAUUCAAUAUCUUCAUUUCCAUCUAGGAUAAUGAUUCUCCUUCUUGCUGUUCUUAAAAGCGCAGCAUCAAAAUGGAGUAAACAAUGAUGAGAAACACAAGUAUAACAAUAUUAGUGAUCGCCACCUUCUUCCAGUUCCUCUUCAAAUUAUCCAACACUCCACCUCAACAAAGCCAUUAACUGUCAAUCUUAAUACAAAGAACAACCACUUCACCAAAAAUUGAAGAUGCAUCUUCACCAACACCUAAGAUAAUUUACAGAAAAAGAAUCGACUUAUCCUCAAGGAAAAGAAAUAUUAGUGAACAAAUAAACUGUCAGCGGUAGUAAAAAGAAAAGAAAUAGCUUAAUAACAUUCAAUGUACCUGGUAAAAAAAUUAUACACACAACUAAAGUAUCAUGGGAGACAACUGUACAAAUAUAAUCUACUCAAACUUGAAACAAAUCAAUUCAAUCUGAGUGUUCAUUUCCUACAACGUGGAUAUCAGUAUAUACCUAAUACACAAAGUUCUUAGUAAGCGCACCACAACAAAGGAUCUAGAGAUAAUGUUGUUGUAAUUUAUGUCCUAAAACUCUUGUAAAUAUAAUUCAUUAACCGUUUUAAUAAAAUGUUAUUAAUGUAAUAAUUGUUAUUAAUUAUGUUAUUAGUUUUGUUUUAAUGACUCAAAUUCAAUAAAUUAAUAUUCUAAGCUGUAUAAUGAGUUUUGAACAUAUUUAGAGACAUACAAUGAUCAAUGUUCGAGAUCAGCUUAAAGGAUUUACAGUAUAGAGAUAAGGAUGAGUACCUUAUCCUGGUAACACAAUGGAUAUGACGAUUUGUAUGGGUGAGAGUCGUCAAAUCGCCGACUUAAUAAGCUUAUCAUUUUGGGGACAAGACCGAGUGGGGAGCUGGGAACAUAAUUACACAAGAUAGAAUUCACUCAUUCCCUAUUUUAAGGUAAGUAAAUGGGUGUUCCCUUAAAUGAUGUCUCCAGGUCUUGAACAAAGAACCCUACCCUCUCUAUGGAACAAGAGAAAUUUUUGUUUAUUGGUAGAACCAUAAACAAGUUGUUCAUUGGAGAAACACUAAUAUUUAAGGAUUAGAGGUAACCUAGGGGUAAAACAGUAAAUUGACACAGCUGGUGUUAUGAACACUCGUGAAGGACUAACUUAUUGUUAUUGGUCUAUAUCCGUGGACACAAAAAUAUAUCUAAAGUGAGAAGAAAACAAUUUUCUUUAACUUAAACCAACAAAAUUCAUUAAGAAAAAAUCUCUCAAAUAUCUUUAAACAUUUUCCUUUCCAAUUGGUUUCUACAAACCAAUCUCGUCCCAGAUGAUAGGAAGGUCUCCGACGGGUGGUGUCCCUAGUGAUUUGUAGAUAGAGAGACGUCAUCGAAAGUAAGUUCUAUGAAUCUUUUAAUUUAAAGGCAUGCUUAGUUUUUAUUUAGAAUUUUGAUUCUAAAAUUUUGUCAAUGUACUGCUAUUUUAACAUUCUCAAAUUAGUUUGGGAAACGGUUCUUUAAAUUCUUCUGUUACGUAGGGUUUUUAUCCCUUCAAUAUAUAUGUCAAUAUAAGUCUUCUUAUUUUGUUGAAAAAAUACGAAAACACCUAAAAAAAAUAUGGAUUCUUGAUUUUCUUGAUGGGUAAAGUUUUCUUAGUUUCGUUGAUGGCCCACAAACAUCAAGAAAACUAUUUCUUGAUGGAUAAUAAACAUCAAGAAUAACAUAUUAAUUAGUUGAUUAACAAUGCCCAUCAGAUUAAUUAGGUUUUCUUGAUGGAUGAGGCCCAUCAAUGAAUGAAUUUUCUUGAUUUGCAAUGGCCAUCAUCGAAAAAAAAUAAUAUAUUUGUUUUGGAUUUCUUGAUGGGUUUAGAAUUUUCUUGAUGAAUCUAGGAUUUCUUGAUGCACAAAAACAAAAAACAGAUCAUCAACAAGGUCCAUUAAGAAAAAUGAUAUCUUAAUGGACAUCGUAACCAGUGGUGUUCAUUCUAUUUUCUAAUAUUUUGUCUAUUCGUUGGUCUACAUACUUAAUUUGGGUGAUUUUCAUAAGGAUAACACAGGAAUGAAAGAUGAAUUAGGAUUGGAAAAUGCUCAAAAAAAAUGGUCUUUCUUUAAUGUCAACCAUGUAUGAAUGUACCCAUUUCUUGUUUACUCCUCUCACUCCUCAUUCCAUCCUCUUAUUUCUUACUCACGUUCCUCGUCAACAUAGCAUUAAACCACUUUUGAAUUUUCUUUUCCAUAGUUGAUUCUAACAGAAAGAGGAGAAGAAAAAAAAAGUGAAAACGAAAAAGACAGGAAGAUAUGUUAGAGUCUAAGGAUGAUAGCUAUUAGAUUCAAAGUAUUAACAUAAAUGGUAACAUUUUGCAAAAAAAUAUUACAAAUAUAACAAAAUAUGUUAGAGUCUAAAAGUCUAUCAACAACUUUGAUAUAUUUGCAAUUUUUAAAAGUGUUAUUAUACAUUUCAUAAUUAUCUCUAAAAUUGCUACAUGAACACUAUUAUAUGUGUGAUGUCGAUCGAUCGGUGAGUCUAAAAUCUCAUUGUACCUACUCUUAUAGAAUAAAUAGUCAAAUUUUGCAUGUGUCAAAACUGAUACUGAUGACACCCAUUUGGUUGGUUUUAGUAAACCAGAACGAAUUUUGGGCCCACCCAUGUUUGAGAGUUAGGUUGUAUAUAAUUGAGUUGAAUUGGAUUAAUGAUAUUUGUUGCAUUUAUUUAUGACCUAAAUUGUUUUUGUAUUAGUUAUCUUUGUUUACUUAACCUUUUACAUAACUAUUAAUUAUCCAUUAUGCUUAUAAUAUACAUAUAGCCACGUGUCACCUUUCCUCACAUCCAACUUCUAUGUCAUAUCUUGACUAUGUAAUCCACGUCAUGGUUAUCAAAUUGUUUAUAAAUAGAGACAUUUAGUGAGUUUUGAAGAAUACACAUAUCGGUGAAAUGUCCAAAGAAACGAAAGAAAGUGGACUUUGUGGAGAUUUUAGUUUGAGAUUUUCUAAUUUCUAACAUUUCUUUAAUUUUUAUUUUCUUUCUUUAUUUUAUUUAGAUUUUUUUUUAAAAAAAGUAAAUUUUAUAAAAUAAUUAACAGUUAUAACAAAUUCUAUGCUGAUAGUCGUUGAUAUGCUAUAUUAGUAGAAUCCAAAAAUUUACUAACUUAUGUAUAUUUUAUUUUAUUUUAUUAUUUUUAAAAAUGUUUCAUUUAUUUUAAUAUUAUAUAUUUUCAAUUUUUGUAUUUUGGCUAUGCCUUAUUUUUACACAAGAAACUAUUGCUUAAAUGAAACUACCAUAUAUAUUUGCUUUCAUAUGAAUUUUAGAAGCAAAAGUAGUAUUUGAUAUUUCAUAUUAUGUUGAAAAAAUAAGAAUAGGUUUUCAAUAAUUUAGUUGACGAAGACCCCACCAAAAUGAUAUUUUUCAAAAAUACUAUUAACCGUCAAAAUAUCAAUGUGUGGACUAUAUAAUAUAUCUUUCAAUAAUUCAAUUAAUGAUUGUCCUAUCUAAUUACGACGAAUUACAAAGGUUACGUAAAUGACAUGACUACUUCCUUCUAUCAAUUUUUCUUGGACCUCAAGAAUAAACAUAUAUAUAAUAUAUAGACUUUCUUUUUUGUUUUUGAAAAAAUCUAAAUUUGUAUCUAUUUCAACAAGUAUAGAACAAUAAUAUUCUUGGACUUCAAGUAAACUAUUUUUGUGACUUAUUACGUGGAAUUGAUUUAAGAAAAAAAAUACUUUUGUUUCCAUUUUUUAAAUUAAAUAUUUUAAAAUAUAUUCCAAACACACUUUUAAUAAUAAUCAUUGCUGAAAAAAAAUGUACCUAAGCUCUCUAUAAUUUAUUAUUGAUUGAAAGCAUGGUGUUGAAGGUUUGAACCUACAUUUUAAGUAUCUAAAAACAUAUUUUUUCUUUUUGUUUUUUUCUAUAGUAUUAACAAAUAAAAGAAAAGUAAUGAACAUCAUUUAAACUUCAGAGACAAAAUAUAAAAUAUAUAUCAGUAGUAGGUUCAGAUUGGCUUCUAAAUCAACUUAGUACAUUCAAAAAGUCAUAAAAUUAUUAUAAUUUAAGUAGUCAAAUCAUUGUUCGAAUUUAGUGAUGAUUUAAUUUAAGAUUUUAUAAAUAUCUGGAAAUAAAAAAUGUCUAGAAAAUAUGCAUGAUGUAUGAAAAUAAAAAAAAAAAUGAUUAUGUUUGGUUGUCGUGAAAAGUGCUAUGGAAAUUUUAUAAAAAAAAAUGUGUUCUGUAUUUUAUUGUUAAAAGUUGAGUAAUUAAGUAAUUAAUAAUUAAAAUUAACCAAAAAUCAAAGUAAUUGUCCAAUUAAUAUAUUUUAAUGAAAGUGUUACUAAUUAAUAAAUUGUGGAUGAAAAUGUUAUUAACUUUUCCUAAGAGUAAUUAAUGUCUGUUAUUUUUGUUGUUGUUGGACAUAAAUAAAUGAUAUUUUAUCUAAAUUGUUUGAUUCCUUAAAAAAAAAACCUGACAAAUUGUAUGCAAUAAUAAAGUAUUAAAUCAUCCAAAUUUAAUUUUCAAUAAUUUGAUUCUAAAGUUUAUGUCACUGAAUUUUCAAAUUCAAUCAGUUAGGGUAAUUAUUUUCUACGCAUGGUAGCCGUUUUUCCUUUUUAAAAAACUCUUAAUUUUUAUUAUAUAUAUAUAGUGAUAAAAAUUGCAAAGAUUUUGGAGUUAUAAAUAGAAGAAUAGAAACGUUAGAGAACUCUAUACCCAAUCUUAUUGUUUCUUCAAUUAUUGAGAUUUCAAAGAUGUGGUAUGCUCCCGAUACAAUAAUAAGUAUUGUUUUAGUGUUAUUAUUAUUAUUGGGAUGGAAAUUAGCUGAUUGGAUUUGGUUCCGCCCCAAGAAAUUAGAGAAGCUUUUAAGACAGCAAGGAUUCGCCGGAAAUUCUUACCGGAUUCUCCACGGCGACUUGAAGGAGAGAGCCGCCAUGAGAGAAGAAGCAAUGUCCAAGCCCAUGAACUUCUCCAACCAUAUUGCUCCACGUGUCAUUCCCUCUAUCUAUCAUACCAUCCAACGUUAUGGUAACACUUUUAUUCCCUAUUUUUCCUUCUCAUAUAUCCUUUUCUUCUUCUUCUUCAAAUAAGAUUUCAAAGAAAUAAAUUAAAAUUAGGGUUUCAUUUGGUAUUGAAGAGCUGUGUUUUAUAUGAUUACAUUUCUAUUUACUGUUUGAAAAUUAAUUUAUUACUUCUAUCCAUUUUCAAUCAAUGUUUUACAAAAGUAAUGCAAAUUUUUAAAGACUAAAACUGCUCUAGUCUUUUCCUUUUCAGAAUUUACUUAUUUUUACUUCACAAAAAUGAAAACCAUGGUAUGCAAUUGGGAGGCUUAAUUUAAUUUCUAUCUUAAAAGAAUGUAAAAAAAAAACAAUUUGUAUGCUCUCAUGGAAGUAACAUAUAUACUAUGUAUUUGCUGAAAAUAUUGAGUCACUAGUUAGUUUAUCGAUUUAUUUAGGAAAGAAAUCUUAUUAAAUUGUAACACUAAAUUCUAAAAUAGAGAUUAAAUAAUUACAAAUUUUAAAGAAUAGUAACUAAAUUUUUCUAUAGUAAAGAUCAGGGACUAUGGAUUAAAUCGUGAUAAAAUAAAGUAUAAAAACUAAAUUGCUAUAUUAUUGUAUAAGAACUAAGUUAUGUACUGGGAUUUUAAUAUAUUCAGCAGCCAACCUAUAUUUACAUACAUAGUUUAACAGAAUAAAAUAUAGAUAGGAUAGAAAAAUAGAAAAUUUAUUGUAAUGGGAAGAAGUAUUGUUCAAAAUAGUAACAUGUAUCGCUUUAGUAAAAUGGUGCCUAAAAUGGAUUAUCAUCAACUCCCAAUAUGUUGAUUUUAAACUGUGCAGGCAAGAAUUCAUUUAUGUGGCUUGGUCCCAUACCAAGAGUGCACAUAAUGGACCCUGAACAACUCAAAACUGUGUUCUCAUUCUACAAUGAUUUCCAAAAGCCAACUAUGAAUCCCUUUACCAAGUUGCUUGUACAAGGAAUUGUAAAUCUUGAUGGAGAAAAAUGGGUCAAACACAGAAAGAUAAUCAACCCUGCAUUUCAUUUAGAAAAGCUCAAGGUAUCUAUAGCUUUUUCUAAAAGUGAAAGAGAUGACUAUUUCAGUUUUUUUUUUCUUUCAAAAUACACUUUUAUUAUUAUCUAUAGUUCCUAAGAAACAAGAAAUGCAAUAAGAAAACGAAAAAAAGUUAUCAAACGAAGUACCUAAUUCUAAGUUCUCACACAUACCUUUACAUUGGCUCGUAGGAUAUGGUACCAGCAUUCUAUCACAGUUGUAACGAGAUGGUUAGCAAGUGGGAAAGCAUGGUCUCUAAAGAGGGAUCUUGUGAGUUAGAUGUAAUGCCUUAUCUAAAAAAUAUGGCUUCUGAUGUGAUUUCUCGGACUGCAUUUGGGAGCAGCUAUGAGAAAGGAAAAAAGAUCUUCAAGCUUCAAACUGAACUAACUAAUUUUGUGAUUCAAACUACCUUAGGGAUAUAUAUUCCUGGAUGGAGGUAAAAACACUAUUUAUAUCCAACAUGAUUGUAUAUACAUCUAUUGUGAAAUAAUUCAUGUCAUGAUUAUUAUUUUUUGUGCAGAUUUCUACCCACAAAGUUAAACAGAAAAAUGAAAGAGAUAAGCAAAGAGAUAACAACUUUGAUAUUGGGUAUUAUGGAUGAAAGAGAAAAGUCUAUGAAAGCAGGUGAAGCAAUACAAACUGAUCUAUUAAGCAUUCUCAUGGAAUCCAAUAUGAAUGAAAUUAAACAACAUGGAAACAAAAAAGACAUUGGAAUGAGCAUAGAAGAUGUUAUUGAAGAAUGCAAGCUUUUCUAUAUUGCUGGCCAAGAAACUACAGCAACAUUACUAGUCUGGACGAUGAUAUUGUUGAGUUCAUACUCAGAAUGGCAAGAGCGUGCAAGAGCAGAAGUCUUUGAGAUCUUUGGUAACAAGCAACCAAAUUAUGAUGGUUUAAAUAGACUAAAAGUUGUAAGUGUGAUAUCAUUCUCCAACGUUUACUCUCUAUUAAUCUUUUUUUUUUCAUUUUGAUUUCAUCUCAUAUGUGAAAUUUAAAUGCCCAUCUUCUAGUAUAAAACAAUCACAUGAGCAAGUUUUGGAGGUAUGAGUGAAUAUUCUUGGAAUGUUUUCUAACUAAAUCUCAAUCAAGCUUAUUGUCUUUAGAAGUUGAAGAGUAUAAAGGCUACGUGAUAAUUAAACUUGACAUCUAAGAAGCACAAACAUUUUAAUUUAACUAGGGUGUUUGUGUGUCAGACACUUAAGACACUCUAAUAGGUUUCAAACACCUUGUUAGUAUAAUAGAUUUAUGUUAGAAAACUAGUUGUACAGUGUCAAACAAGUCCAACAUUUAUUUAUAUGCAACCAAUGAUGAUUGGUAUACUAAAUAAUUUAUAAGCAUAUAAAUGAAGGACUUCUUUGACCUUGAAGUUUUUUUCUUGUAUAAAACUGGAUUAAACAUGUCCUUAUAAUGCCCAUGUCCUCAUUUAUAACAGUGGCCACUAUGUGGUCUCGUGUCGUGUCAUAUUCAUAUAUUGUAUUUGUAUAUGUGUUUCUUAGCAAGAUAAGUUGUAAAAGAGUGACACAUUGGCAUGUGACUUUUGAGAAUAAUGUGUCCUAAAAAGGUAUGUACAUGACAAGUGGCUUUUGCAAUGGUGCAGGUAACUAUGAUCUUCAAUGAGGUCCUCAGGUUAUACCCACCAGGGAGUCUGUUUGUUCGCAUUGUUAGGAAAGAAACAAGACUUGGAAAUUUGACUUUACCAGGAGGAGUAAUGUUAGGCUUACCAAUUGUUCUUAUCCAACGUGACCCUGAGUUAUGGGGAGAAGAUGCACAUGAAUUCAAUCCAGAGAGAUUUUCUGGAGGAGUUUCUAAAGCAACAAAAAAUCCAAGUGCUUUUAUACCAUUUGGAUGGGGUCCUAGAAUAUGCAUAGGACAAACCUUUGCUAUGAUUGAAGCAAAAAUGGCAUUAUCAAUGAUUCUACAACGUUUCUCAUUUGAGCUUUCGCCAUCGUACACACACUCUCCCAUUGCCAGUUUAACAACACAACCUCAACAUGGAGCUCAUAUCAUACUACACAAACUCUAGCUACCCUCUUAAAAUAUAUAUUAUUAGCUUGCAAAUUAUAAAAAGGCUAGGAAAGUACUCUGCUGCUUUGUCUAUGUAUAAUUUCAAAUCCUUUGUGAAAAAGAUACCUACACAAGGAAUUGAUAUCCUUUCAACUAGACAC
Molecule: long non-coding RNA, 18388 nt
Filed under: Cucumis sativus (cucumber)
Lineage: Eukaryota; Viridiplantae; Streptophyta; Magnoliopsida; Cucurbitales; Cucurbitaceae
Description: long non-coding RNA (CSAT_LNC001690)
Source: RNAcentral